Molecule: long non-coding RNA, 2708 nt
Organism: Nannospalax galili (Upper Galilee mountains blind mole rat)
Lineage: Eukaryota; Metazoa; Chordata; Mammalia; Rodentia; Spalacidae
Exons: 5
Source: RefSeq, a predicted model, not a curated record
GCUGCAGACUGUAAAAGAAGUGGGGAUCAUUCUGAAAAAAAGUUCUGUGUCACGCUGGUGGGGUGGAAAGCACGGGAUGGGGAGGGGGAGGGAGAAGACAGAUCUUUAAAAUGUCUAGCAGUUGAGUGUGGCGAGAAAUUUCUCAGGAAACGGACUGCGAAAAAGUGAACCUGGAGGGGCGGGGAGCGAAAGCGGAGUGAGGGGCGGUGGCCAGUUGUCAACCUCGCCAGAGUGGGGAGCUACUUCUUUUUGACAGAAUGGAAAUGGACUCUUAGCGAGUCUCAUUUGUAAGCAGUAAAUACGUAUGUCUUGGAAAGAAACAGGUUCAUUUUACACGAUCUUUCGCGAAUUAAAACUUUCAAGGUUGUUUGGUUUUUUCCUGUAUGAAACUCGACAUUGGAAAAGUUUGGCUCGAAUGAGCGGAGGAUGCAUACAUCGUGUAUUUGGGGUGUUGGGGGAUACAAGGUAUCUACAACGUUAAAAGACAAAACGUUCUAAAAUGUGAAAAGAGGAAAAGGGCGUAUUCUUUGGCUCUUAAAUCUUUUGGCCAAACACGUCGCAGUUCUGAAGGGGGUGGGGCCAUGGCAACUCCUAAGUAUUGAUUCUUUGUCUAUUGUAUCAGCAAAUGACCCUCUCCAGAAGUGACCAGAUGCCUCUUUGUACUCUCCUUUCGGCAACCAUCGACACCUUUCUCUUCAUUAUUUCCAAAUGCCAGUGUAAAAUGGCUUGUAAAUAAAGCCAAGACAAGAUGGAAUUUAGAGACAAUUGUUCCAAUUUAAGAAGUGGGGUUAUCAUGAAUGGCUUUAUUUGUUAGUGCUGGAUCACAAUCUCUUGUGUUGUGAAUUUUGUACUUGGUCUCAUUAAAUAUUCUGUCCAUUUCAUUAAUUAAUAGGACAUAGCAUUCAUUGUGCUAUUUUUGAAAAACUGACAUAAUUUUAAAAUGAAAAAAACAGGACAUUUGAUUAUAUUAAACUUCUGUUUACAUGUACAGAAAUGUAUUUGAACUUUGAAAGACACUGUAGUUUUGUUUUGGUUUGCUUGUUUUAACUUUUAGGCUUGUGAUUAAGGACCGAAGGAUUUUUUUUCUUAACACUUACUUGAAUGUUUUGUUUAAGCAAGGAGACUAAUGCUUGUAACUUAUUGCUAAUAUGUGUUCAUUUUGAAAAGAAAAAACUGGUAUCUAAUGAGUUAAUCAUUAAGGAGUAUGCACAGUGCCCGCCAUUUCAGGACAUGAAAGAGUUUCUGUGAAGCUGCUUGAGACAGGAAGGAGAGAUUUGACAUCAAGUAUUUAAACUUCUUGAUUUGUGAUCUGAUAGGUGACAUUGACAGAUAUAAAGUAUUUAUAAAUAAAUUUGAGUAACCAACAUUAUAUGAAAACAUUCGAGGAGUUCCUGUACAGAAAAUUCUCUCUUGUUCUUUAUGCUUAAAAAUAACUCAAAACAAGGUGUGUUUAAAGAGAGAAAACUGCUAGUCAUGAGUUAAAGAAGACUGCUGAUGUUCGCAUAGACAAGUCCACAUUUCACAGCUGUGGUAUUCAUUAGAAUCAACUGGAGCUACCCUGAGGGGUUUUGAUUAGCAAAAGUUCUCUGCAUCGACUUCCAAUAAAUGAAAAACAUUAAUGGGAACAAUGAACUAGACAUAAUAAACAGCAUGGAGUUUCACCAAGACUCUGAAGCUGGCAAGAGUCCUCCAGAUGUUACCAAAUUGUCUCAGUUCAAUCUCAUUUUUCAUCUACUUUCAGAGGUACCCCAGAGCGACCCCCACCUCUCAUGUUGACUCCGAAGGGACGCAGCAGCAAUUCAUGUUUUGGAGUGUUGUAAAAGAUUCAAAACAUGAAGCGCUGCUACACCCCUUCGUGGGGGCGAAAAAUAAAAGGUGGAAGUCUGCAGGACAGGACAGACCAGGCAAGGCAUGACAUCUCUGGAAGCCCAGCUCUGGAGCAGCAAGGUUCUCCCUUGAGCAAGAAGGAGAGUGCCACACGGCACUGGAGGUGCCCACCCAUCCUAAAGAACAUGACCUACACCAUCCAGCUCUUUCCAGUGGGUGCCUGCUGGACUCAGGAAUAUUUUUUGAAGGCAUCCUGCUUCUCCAGUUAGCAGUACUGAUUUUUUUUCCAACAAGGGAAUACUGCAACAACAGUCUUGGCGGGGAUUUGGAUACAGAAGACUCCUGUUUCAAGAAAAUACAAUCAUCUUUCAAAAGCUGUAAUUUAUAUGCAUUUUUAUCUCACUAGAUACUGAAACACCACCCAGCUGUGGGGGUUACAGUAUAAUUAACCACUAAGUGUAAUAUUCUGCAUCCUUGAAACAUGUUACUGGAAAAUGUUUUAUGAUCUGUAAGUCAAAGAAUCUGGUCCCCUGCUUCGUCCUUCCCACUGUUCCCCCACAUCCACGCUUCUUUGUUCCAGUUGGCAUGGAAACUUGUUUUUCCCACCAAAUGAGUCAGUCAUGAUGGGAGCAUCAAUUGAUCUGAACAGAUGUGUGUCAAUGUUACUCGGAAAAACUAGAUGCAAAUAACCAGGGCCACAGAAAAAGGCAGUGGUUGUAACUCUAAAAAAUUUAUGCGUGCACACAGGCAAGGAAAAAAGUAGAACCCUAAACAGGAAAACAUUUGGCUAUACUCCAGUGCUGAGGUUGAAUGAUUGUUAUGUUGCUUUUGAUUUUCAUUAAUAUGGGCAACUGUCCAAUUAAACAAAAACCUCAUAAGGA